RNAcentral lists this long non-coding RNA (209 nucleotides) under Portunus trituberculatus (swimming crab). RNAcentral's name for it is "uncharacterized LOC123512399". Lineage: Eukaryota; Metazoa; Arthropoda; Malacostraca; Decapoda; Portunidae. The record is from RNAcentral.
GAAGAAGAAACGAGAAAUAGAGGUGGAAUAGGAGAAGGAGCCAAGGUGUAAUAUUUAGGUACAGGAUGGCCAGGCGGGUGUUGCGGAAGACCAGCGGGCGAGGUCACAAGUGGAAGAAAGGUCACAGCUGUGUGUCCAACCCCGAGGUCACCAAGCACUGCCAAGCUGCCAGAGAGAGAGAGAGAGAGAGAGAGAGAGAGAGAGAGAGA